Molecule: ribosomal RNA, 374 nt
Filed under: uncultured bacterium
Lineage: Bacteria
Description: bacterial SSU rRNA
Rfam family: Bacterial small subunit ribosomal RNA
Source: RNAcentral
GACGAACGCUGGCGGCGUGCUUAACACAUGCAAGUCGAGCGGUAAGGCCCUUUCGGGGGUACACGAGCGGCGAACGGGUGAGUAACACGUGGGUGACCUGCCCUUAGCUCUGGGAUAAGCCUGGGAAACUGGGUCUAAUACCGGAUAUGACUCCAUGACGCAUGUUGUGGGGUGGAAAGCCUUGUGCGGCUAGGGAUGGGGCCCGCGGCCUAUCAGCUUGUUGGUGGGGUGAUGGCCUACCAAGGCGACGACGGGUAGCCGGCCUGAGAGGGCGACCGGCCACACUGGGACUGAGACACGGCCCAGACUCCUACGGGAGGCAGCAGUGGGGAAUCUUGCGCAAUGGGCGAAAGCCUGACGCAGCGACGCCGCGU